Molecule: ribosomal RNA, 481 nt
Filed under: uncultured Saprospiraceae bacterium
Lineage: Bacteria; Pseudomonadati; Bacteroidota; Saprospiria; Saprospirales; Saprospiraceae
Description: bacterial SSU rRNA
Rfam family: Bacterial small subunit ribosomal RNA
Source: RNAcentral
GAUGAACGCUAGCGGGAGGCUUAAUACAUGCAAGUUGAACGGUAACAUGAGGGCUUGCCCUUGAUGACGAGUGGCGCACGGGUGAGUAACGCGUACACAACCUACCUAUAAGAGGUGAAUACCCUUUGGAAACGAAGAAUAAUACACCAUGGUAUUAACUGAUCGAUAAUUGGUUAAUUAAAGUUUCGGCGCUUAUAGAUGGGUGUGCGUACUAUUAGCUAGUUGGUAAGGUAACGGCUUACCAAGGCGACGAUAGUUAGGGGGCGUGAGAGCGUGAACCCCCACACGGGUACUGAGACACGGACCCGACUCCUACGGGAGGCAGCAGUAAGGAAUAUUGGACAAUGGGCGAAAGCCUGAUCCAGCCAUCCCGCGUGUAGGAAGACUGCCCUAUGGGUUGUAAACUACUUUUAGAUAGGAAGAACAGUAGAUAUUAAUAUUUAUUUGACGGUACUAUCAGAAUAAGCACCGGCUAACUCCG